RNAcentral lists this transfer RNA (68 nucleotides) under Marmota marmota marmota (Alpine marmot). It matches the Rfam family "tRNA". Rfam says of the family: Transfer RNA (tRNA) molecules are approximately 80 nucleotides in length. Their secondary structure includes four short double-helical elements and three loops (D, anti-codon, and T loops). Further hydrogen bonds mediate the characteristic L-shaped molecular structure. tRNAs have two regions of fundamental functional importance: the anti-codon, which is responsible for specific mRNA codon recognition, and the 3' end, to which the tRNAs corresponding amino acid is attached (by aminoacyl-tRNA synthetases). tRNAs cope with the degeneracy of the genetic code in two manners: having more than one tRNA (with a specific anti-codon) for a particular amino acid; and 'wobble' base-pairing, i.e. permitting non-standard base-pairing at the 3rd anti-codon position. Lineage: Eukaryota; Metazoa; Chordata; Mammalia; Rodentia; Sciuridae. RNAcentral also lists the same sequence under 1 other name. The record is from Rfam by way of RNAcentral.
GGGGCUAUAGCUCAGUGGCAGAGCACUUGCCUAGCAUGUAUGAGGUACUGGCUUGAUCCCUAGCACCA